RNAcentral lists this ribosomal RNA (497 nucleotides) under uncultured bacterium. RNAcentral's name for it is "partial 16S ribosomal RNA". It matches the Rfam family "Bacterial small subunit ribosomal RNA", at positions 28 to 507 of the family's 1533-position model. The record is from RNAcentral.
GAUGAACGCUGGCGGCGUGCCUAAUACAUGCAAGUCGAGCGAACGGACGAGAAGAUUGCUUCUCUGAUGUUAGCGGCGGACGGGCGAGUAACACGUGGAUAACCUACCUAUAAGACUGGGAUAACUUCGGGAAACAGGAGCUAAUAACGGAUAAUAUUUUGAACCGCAGGGUUCAAAAGUGAAAGACGGUCUUGCUGUCAGUAAUAGAUGGAUCCGCGCUGCAUUAGCUAGUUGGUAAGGUAACGGCUUACCAAGGCAACGAUGCAUAGCCGACCUGAGAGGGUGAUCAGCCACACUGGAACUGAGACACGGUCCAGACUCCUGCGGGAGGCAGCAGUAGGGAAUCUUCCACAAUGGGCGAAAGCCUGACGGAGCAACGCCGCGUGAGUGAUGAAGGUCUUCGGAUCGUAAAACUCUGUUAUUAGGGAAGAACAUAUGUGUAAGUAACUGUGCACAUCUUGACGGUACCUAAUCAGAAAGCCACGGCUAACUUCGUG